This 71-nucleotide transfer RNA is filed under the name Schistosoma mansoni. The record is from RNAcentral. Lineage: Eukaryota; Metazoa; Platyhelminthes; Trematoda; Strigeidida; Schistosomatidae.
CUCAGUAGUUGAGUGGAUGACAUGAUGGCUUUUGAAGCGAAAGGUACUGGGUUCGAGUCCCAGAGUGAAUA